Molecule: ribosomal RNA, 468 nt
Filed under: uncultured bacterium
Lineage: Bacteria
Description: partial 16S ribosomal RNA
Rfam family: Bacterial small subunit ribosomal RNA
Source: RNAcentral
GACGAACGCUGGCGGCGUGCUUAACACAUGCAAGUCGAACGGAAAGGCCCUGCUUUUGUGGGGUGCUCGAGUGGCGAACGGGUGAGUAACACGUGAGUAACCUGCCCUUGACUUUGGGAUAACUUCAGGAAACUGGGGCUAAUACCGGAUAGGAGCUCCUGCUGCAUGGUGGGGGUUGGAAAGUUUCGGCGGUUGGGGAUGGACUCGCCGCUUAUCAGCUUGUUGGUGGGGUAGUGGAUUACCAAGGCUUGGAGAGGUAGCAUGGCUGGGAGGGUGAGCGGACCAGCUAGAACUGAGCUAAGGCCCAGACUACUACGGUAGGCAGCGGUGGAGAAUAUUGCACAAUGGGAGGAAGGAUGAUGUAGCACAGCCGCGUGGGGGAUGACGGCCAUCGGGUAGUAAAGCAAUUUCGCCUGAGACGAAGCGUGAGUGACGGUAACGGGUAAAGAAGCACCGGCUAACUCCGUG